CAAAACUAUAAACUGAAAUUCCAAGAAAUUUACAUACUUUUGUGAUGAAUGUUUGAUUAAGAAAAUGAUAUCCAAUUGGUCUCAAAUGACUAGCAUUUGAAAAUUAUUUGAGUCUACUUUGAGUUUGGUGUUUAUUACUAGCUAAAAUUCUUGAUAGUUUGGGAGAUAUGGCUCGUUCUAUGCAUGUAUGUCACUGUUAGCAGACUGUGAUAAUUUUCAAGAAUAUUACUUCUAUUAUACUGAGAGUUUGACUAAGCAAUUGGAGCCCAAAUGACACAAAAUUACCGCCAUUAGAAAGAUAUGCACGUCUAGUAAAAUAUUUAUUUUUUCUCACUGCCAAAAUUCUAUAUGAAAAUGAAGUUAUGUUUCUAAUUGAGAGGAUAUAUCACUAUCGACUAUUUUCCUAGAUGUUUCUCUAAUACUACUAUGGUCACUGAUUCUAACUAACCAAACGAAGUUCAUUUUCAGCUUAACCACAACCAUUUGAAAUAUCUUUGAAUAGGCUAAACUUUGCGUGUAGAAACUAUUUUGAAAUUCUUCUUGGGUUGAAAGUUAUAUUGUGUUUUAUGAAGAUAUGUCCUUGUGGACAACUUUUAUAAAACUCAAAAUUUAUGCCUCAGUCGCCAUGGAGUUUUACUGACAAAAAGGGGACCAUUUUCUUCCAAACUGCUGCCAUUAGAACGGUUCAUAAGUAAUCUUAAAUUCACAAGUUCAUCACUUUUUGGAAUUUCUUCUUGAUUGUGAGUUAUGAUGUAAAAUUUAAA
Molecule: long non-coding RNA, 764 nt
Filed under: Amborella trichopoda
Lineage: Eukaryota; Viridiplantae; Streptophyta; Magnoliopsida; Amborellales; Amborellaceae
Description: long non-coding RNA (ATRI_LNC003715)
Source: RNAcentral